RNAcentral lists this ribosomal RNA (523 nucleotides) under Pichia sp. GoToruMP329. RNAcentral's name for it is "eukaryotic LSU rRNA". It matches the Rfam family "Eukaryotic large subunit ribosomal RNA", at positions 104 to 646 of the family's 3401-position model. Lineage: Eukaryota; Fungi; Ascomycota; Pichiomycetes; Pichiales; Pichiaceae. The record is from RNAcentral.
UAGCACUAAGCGGAGCAAUCUGGUCCCUUCCGUGCCCGAGUUGUAAUUUGAAGAAAGCUGUCUUGGAUUUGGCCUUUGUCUAUGUUCCUUGGAACAGGACGUCACAGAGGGUGAGAAUCCCGUGCGAUGAGGUGUCCAUUUCUAUGUAAGACGUUUUCGAAGAGUCGAGUUGUUUGGGAAUGCAGCUCUAAGUGGGUGGUAAAUUCCAUCUAAAGCUAAAUAUUGGCGAGAGACCGAUAGCGAACAAGUACUGUGAAGGAAAGAUGAAAAGAACUUUGAAAAGAGAGUGAAAAAGUACGUGAAAUUGUUGAAAGGGAAGGGUAUUCGAUCAGACUUGGUAUUUAGUUAUCAUUACUCCUUGUGGGUGGUGCUCUAGCUUUUUACUGGGCCAGCAUCAGUUUUGGUGGCAAGAUAAUGGCAGUUGAAUGUGGCUCCUCGGAGUGUUAUAGCUUCUGCUGAUAUUGCCUACUGGGACUGAGGUCUGCGGCUUUUGCCUAGGAUGCUGGCGUAAUGAUCGAAUACC